GCCAGUGUGGUGCAGGGGUUUGAGUGCUGGAUGACAACUGUGGAGAUCAGGGUUCAAAUCCCUGCUCAGCCA
Molecule: non-coding RNA, 72 nt
Organism: Phrynosoma platyrhinos (Desert horned lizard)
Lineage: Eukaryota; Metazoa; Chordata; Lepidosauria; Squamata; Phrynosomatidae
Source: the annotation of a GenBank genome assembly